This 253-nucleotide ribosomal RNA is filed under the name uncultured bacterium. Its description in RNAcentral is "partial 16S ribosomal RNA". It matches the Rfam family "Bacterial small subunit ribosomal RNA", at positions 524 to 776 of the family's 1533-position model. The record is from RNAcentral.
UACAGAGGGUGCGAGCGUUAAUCGGAAUUACUGGGCGUAAAGCGUGCGUAGACGGUUAUUUAAGUCGGAUGUGAAAGCCCCGGGCUCAACCUGGGAAUUGCAUUCGAGACUGAAUAGCUAGGGUACGGUAGAGGGAAGCGGAAUUUCCGGUGUAGCGGUGAAAUGCGUAGAUAUCGGAAGGAACAUCAGUGGCGAAAGCGGCUCCCUGGACCAGUACCGACGUUCAGGCACGAAAGCGUGGGGAGCAAACAGG